UUUUUUUUUUUUAAUUUUGCCAGCCCUGGGGCUUGAAAUCAGGGCCUGGGCACUCUCCCUGAGCAAUUUUAUGAUCAAGUCUAGCACUCAUACCACCUUGGACCAAACUCCACCUC
Dipodomys spectabilis (banner-tailed kangaroo rat) is the source of this 116-nucleotide long non-coding RNA. RefSeq lists it as uncharacterized. Lineage: Eukaryota; Metazoa; Chordata; Mammalia; Rodentia; Heteromyidae. The record is from RefSeq and is a predicted model, not a curated record. The transcript has 3 exons.